CUGCUGCCUCCCGUAGGAGUCUGGGCCGUGCCUCAGUCCCAAUGUGGCCGUCCGCCCUCUCAGGCCGGCUACUGAUCGUCGCCUUGGUGGGCCGUUACCCCGCCAACUGGCUAAUCAGACGCGGAUCCAUCGUAUACCGCCGGAGCUUUUCACACUGUCCCAUGCGGGACCGUGCGCUUAUGCGGUAUUAGCACCUGUUUCCAGGUGUUAUCCCCCUGUAUACGGCAGGUUAUCCACGCGUUACUCACCCGUCCGCCAA
Molecule: ribosomal RNA, 259 nt
Filed under: uncultured bacterium
Lineage: Bacteria
Description: partial 16S ribosomal RNA
Source: RNAcentral